CCAAGUGUAUGUAUUGGAAUCCAACAAAUUAAUUUGAUCAGAUGGUUUGAUCAAUUCUAAAUAUAGGUUUAGAAUUUGAUCAAGAUUGUGAUUUGACUCUAGUUUUAUAUGCUAGAGAAUCGAAUAUUUUGGGAAUUGGGAUGUUCGUGAAAAUUGAACUUGAGUUUAGUUUAACGACAUUUCGGUCGAUGUCGGAUUUAGGUUUAGUUUAACGACGUUUCGGUCGGUUGAUUUGGUGGAUUAGUUUAACGACGUUUCGGUCGAAGUUUUGGGUUUGGUUCACAAGGUUUAUGGUAUUGGGUAUAUGGGAUUAUGGUUCAUGAACUUAGAUAUGGCUCAUGGAUUUAUGGUUCAUGGACUUAUGGUUCAUGGACUUAUGGUUCAUGGGUUUGAAUAUGGGUUAA
This 404-nucleotide long non-coding RNA is filed under the name Ananas comosus (pineapple). RNAcentral describes it as "long non-coding RNA (ACOM_LNC007508)". The record is from RNAcentral. Lineage: Eukaryota; Viridiplantae; Streptophyta; Magnoliopsida; Poales; Bromeliaceae.